RNAcentral lists this ribosomal RNA (240 nucleotides) under uncultured bacterium. RNAcentral describes it as "partial 16S ribosomal RNA". It matches the Rfam family "Bacterial small subunit ribosomal RNA", at positions 93 to 334 of the family's 1533-position model. The record is from RNAcentral.
GACCGGCGCACGGGUGAGUAACGCGUAUGUAAUCUACCUGUAACAGAGGGAUAACCCGGAGAAAUCCGGACUAAUACCUCAUAGCACAUAUUAUUCGCAUGAAUUUUAUGUUAAAGAGACUCGGUUACAGAUGAACAUGCGUUCCAUUAGCUAGUUGGCGGGGUUACGGCCCACCAAGGCAACGACGGAUAGGGGUUCUGAGAGGAAGGUCCCCCACACUGGUACUGAGACACGGACCAG